This 64-nucleotide transfer RNA is filed under the name Heterocephalus glaber (naked mole-rat). It matches the Rfam family "tRNA". From Rfam's summary of the family: Transfer RNA (tRNA) molecules are approximately 80 nucleotides in length. Their secondary structure includes four short double-helical elements and three loops (D, anti-codon, and T loops). Further hydrogen bonds mediate the characteristic L-shaped molecular structure. tRNAs have two regions of fundamental functional importance: the anti-codon, which is responsible for specific mRNA codon recognition, and the 3' end, to which the tRNAs corresponding amino acid is attached (by aminoacyl-tRNA synthetases). tRNAs cope with the degeneracy of the genetic code in two manners: having more than one tRNA (with a specific anti-codon) for a particular amino acid; and 'wobble' base-pairing, i.e. permitting non-standard base-pairing at the 3rd anti-codon position. The record is from Rfam by way of RNAcentral. Lineage: Eukaryota; Metazoa; Chordata; Mammalia; Rodentia; Bathyergidae.
GGGGAUUUAGCCUAGUGGUUCCGGCGCCUGCUUUGCAAGCAGAAGGUCCCGAGUUCAAUCCCCA